Long non-coding RNA from Tetranychus urticae (two-spotted spider mite), 631 nucleotides. RefSeq lists it as uncharacterized. Lineage: Eukaryota; Metazoa; Arthropoda; Arachnida; Trombidiformes; Tetranychidae. The record is from RefSeq and is a predicted model, not a curated record.
UAAUUAGCAGUCUAUUCUCAUUUUAAACAUGAAAUAUUGACCUGAAUACCGAAAUCCCAAGAUGAUAAUCAUUCAAUAACCUCGUCAAAAUUUAACAUGAAAGUUAUCAAAAUCAUUAUCUGGUUAGCUAUUUACGUUUCACUUUCUAUCACCAACAAAUGAUUUUAAGAGAGCAUCAAAAAUAUCCAAGAUGAAGACAGUUUUGGUUGGCGAUAAAAAACAUUGAUUAACUUCUGACUAUUCUGGCUGACUAGGAGUCUCUAAUGGUGAUAAUCAAUCGUCUGUGAUCAAAGUUUCAAGUGAAAAAAACCCAGAACCCUAAUCAUAACUGGAUGUUGAUCUUUAGAGUUCAUUUGAAGCUUUCCUUCAAAAGGCGUAAAAUCAAUCAAUAGUUGGUAAAGAAAUGGACUUACCUCCAUCAGGUGAAACAAAACGGAUGAAAUGACUCGAAUUUCCUAUCAGAUCUGAACUAGAGACAACAUUAAUGAGAAGUUGAUAUUCCGUGUUUGGCACUAACUGUUCAAUGGUAACAUUUCUCAUGUUUAUAGGCACUUCCUGAACAUAUCGUGUUCUGUAAAGCAAAAACAAGCAAAAAAAGAUGAAAAUAUCAUUAAAUAACAUUUUCAAAUAA